RNAcentral lists this ribosomal RNA (397 nucleotides) under uncultured bacterium. RNAcentral describes it as "partial 16S ribosomal RNA". It matches the Rfam family "Bacterial small subunit ribosomal RNA", at positions 523 to 918 of the family's 1533-position model. The record is from RNAcentral.
AUACGUAGGGGGCGAGCGUUGUCCGGAAUGACUGGGCGUAAAGGGCGUGUAGGCGGCGGAUUAGGUCUGGAGUGAAAGUCCUGCUUUCAAGGUGGGAAUUGCUUUGGAUACUGCCGCGCUUGAGUGCAGGAGAGGUUAUCGGAAUUCCCGGUGUAGCGGUGAAAUGCGUAGAGAUCGGGAGGAACACCAGUGGCGAAGGCGGGUAACUGGACUGCAACUGACGCUGAGGCGCGAAAGUGUGGGGAGCAAACAGGAUUAGAUACCCUGGUAGUCCACACUGUAAACGAUGAAUGCUAGGUGUAAGAGGUAUCGACCCCUUUUGUGCCGGAGUCAACACAAUAAGCAUUCCGCCUGGGGAGUACGGCCGCAAGGUUGAAACUCAAAGGAAUUGACGGGG